Molecule: small nucleolar RNA, 134 nt
Filed under: Fundulus heteroclitus (mummichog)
Lineage: Eukaryota; Metazoa; Chordata; Actinopteri; Cyprinodontiformes; Fundulidae
Description: Small nucleolar RNA SNORA42/SNORA80 family (ENSFHEG00000023220.1)
Source: RNAcentral
GCAUGUUUCGAUUUGAGACUCGACCCAAACCCGUGGUCCUGUCUCAGUGUACGACAUGCGACAUCAACGUCCGACUCCGAACCAUUGGCUGGCUCCUAUUGGUGGGCUUGAUCACUGAAGAGAGUCAGACACUU